This is a long non-coding RNA of Wyeomyia smithii (pitcher-plant mosquito), 461 nucleotides long. RefSeq lists it as uncharacterized. The record is from RefSeq and is a predicted model, not a curated record. Lineage: Eukaryota; Metazoa; Arthropoda; Insecta; Diptera; Culicidae. The transcript has 3 exons.
CACAAAUAGCAACGCUAAGUUGAUUUCGCUACGAUCUACAGGUUUACUUAAAAUUAUUGAGUUCUUAUUAAAAUAUUAUUAAAAUUAUUACCAUCUAACGCUAAGUGAAGGUUUAAGGAGAAUUGUUUCGAAUUAAAGGUUGAUUAAACAAGAAACAUCGUAUAGAUCCAGCUUUCUACUUUUCUACUUCAACGUUCAUGAGUUGCACUACCAUAGGUUUACAGUCACUUAUUAUAAAGUAAUCUUCGAGGCAAAUAUUCACGUAGAAUUUAUAUAAAGAAGACAAAACGCGAUAAAUCCAGAUAAGACAUCGAUCGAGUAAGAUGUGGUACACCCGCUGAUAUUUGGCUGAAGUUUGGCAUAAAGUUUUAAGAUGGUCACUUUUUGUUGGUUUUGGUUUGAACCAUUGUUCUAAAAUAUUGCAUCGCGAGAAAAGGAUCGUAUUCACGUACAACAGUGCC